UUGACAGAUGGGUCAUCGCAUUUGCGAGGGAAACAAGUCAUGAUUUUGUCCUGUCAAGAAUCAACUCAUUGCCUGUUACUGAAUGGGUCAUCGCUUCUAAUUAUACUCGGUUUACCUCCCCUCUGUGCUAUACCUGCAUGUCCAAGAAAGAUCGCCUCUGGUCUGGGUUCGUCUCGCCUGCGUUGCAUGUUGCAUGUGUAAUUUGCAUAUUUGUUUAUUUUGAUUCUGUAUAAUGCGAUUUGAGUUUUUUUUGGGAGAAAAUGAAACGUUGAUUAGAAAUUUAGCAUAUUUGUAUAUUUGUCGUCGUUGAUGAUUUGGGGAAGUUUUUAUGCCAACGAUUUGUUGUUGUUGAUGAUGAUUUGGAGAUUUUUUUUUUUUGACUGAGG
This 386-nucleotide unclassified non-coding RNA is filed under the name Hevea brasiliensis (rubber tree). Lineage: Eukaryota; Viridiplantae; Streptophyta; Magnoliopsida; Malpighiales; Euphorbiaceae. The record is from RNAcentral.